This is a non-coding RNA of Paramuricea clavata, 103 nucleotides long. NCBI's taxonomy places the organism in Eukaryota, Metazoa, Cnidaria, Anthozoa, Malacalcyonacea, Plexauridae. The record is from the annotation of a GenBank genome assembly.
UCAUUGGCAAUUACCCUGGGUGCCAGAGGUUCUUCCAAUCCCUCAUUAUUCCCCCUACGAGCAUGGAAGAACCUCUGGCACCCAGGGUAAUUGCCAAUGGGCA